Molecule: long non-coding RNA, 1845 nt
Organism: Physeter macrocephalus (sperm whale)
Lineage: Eukaryota; Metazoa; Chordata; Mammalia; Artiodactyla; Physeteridae
Exons: 4
Source: RefSeq, a predicted model, not a curated record
GCAGCGCGCUUAAUCCCCUCUCCUCUCGCACCAGGAAACAGAGGCAAGAAAAAGUCUCUUGUCUCUUCGGCAGCUCUGCGUCCGUCUCUGCAGCUCCUUUAAGCGGCGCGCUUAAACCCCUCUCCUUGCACACCAGGAAACAAAGAGGGAAGAAAAGGUCUCUUGCCUCUUCGCAGCUCCAGACUUCUCCCGGACUCCCUCCCGGCUAGCCGUGGUGCACUAACUCCUUCAGGCUCUGUUCACACAGCCAACCCCAGUCCUCUCCCUGGGAUCCGACCGAAGCCCGAGCCUCAGCUUCCAGUCCCCCCCUGUCCCAGCAGAACAGUGAAUAAAGGAUAGAUUUCAACCUGGCAGGACACAAAUAUGAGUUUGCCAAGUAAAUUCUAACUUUGGGGUACUUUAGAGGUCCUCUGAGGUAUCUUGAAGAGAAAUAUUUAACUAAGAUUAUCUGCCUACUCAAAGAUGUGGUGAAGUUACUCUAAAGCAUGCUCUGGAGCCAGACGCCCUUCCAGCCAACCAGCCAAACGUUCCUUUUUUUUCAAUUUUUCUCUAUACUAUAUUCCACAUUUCUUUUUUUUAAUGUUUAUUUUAUACUGGAGCAUAGUUGAUUAACUAUGUUAUAUUGCUUUCAGGUGUACAACAAAGAUAUUCAGUUAUACAUAUACAUGUACCUAUUCUUUUUCAAAUUCUUUUCCCAUUUAGGUUAUUACAGAAUAUUGAGCAGAGUUCCCUGUGCUGUACAAUAGGUCCUUGUUGGUUACCUAUUUUAAAUAUAGCAGUGUGUACAAUAGUUCUAAAGUUUAAAAAUUCUAAUCCAGAGGGGAAAAAUUGCUGAGUCAGGGAAUAUGGAAACUGUGGCCCCUUCCCUACUGACCGCUUUGUGUUGGUCAGUUUAGGAAUAUCAGGAAAAGGAAACAAACAACUUCUCAUCUUCCUAGCCGAAAUUUUUUCUAGUCCCAGUAUUGGCUAAUCAGAAACUGUCAUUUUAAUUAAAUCUCUGCUUUCUUCUAUUUAAGUAAGACCAACCCUCCUCUUUUCUCUCCAGGGCACAAAUAGGCAUUGCAUAUAAAUCAAGGUUUCUCUCUGCAGUCCUCCCACAAUUACUGAAAUUCCUCACAUGCUUCAAAUACAAAAUGACCUUUGCAUUCCUCUCUGCUGAUUUCAUCACUAAACAAAUUUUAUCCUAUAACAUUUGUAGAUGCAUUCAUCAAUUAAUCCAUAUUCAAUAUUUAUUGAGUGUCUGUUUUGUUCCAGGCAUUCUGCUAGGUCCGCAUAAUAUAACCAUGAAUAAGAAAUCACGGUCCCUGUUCUUAAAGAACACGUUGCAGUUUUUUGUGUUGUUUUAUUUUCCAUAAGUUUGUUUAUAAAAUAACAGUACCACCUAUCAGACAUCAUUUACUAAAGAUACUGAAUGAAAUUUUUUCAUUUCUUCAACCAUAAUUGGUAUUAGUGGCAAUUGUACUACUGUCAGACCUUAUAACUGGUCAAGUUUGUUGAAUGUCAGGAAAAAAAUGUCUUACGGAGUUUAAAAUAAUAAAGAGUAAAGCCAAGAAAGAGGCCCCUCUUAUCCAUUACCAAAUAUCCUUUUAAUGACUCAAGUGUAAAUGAAUGAAACAGAAUAAUUAAAUUUCUCUUAAAUACACAUACAUUUACAUAGUAACAGGAAAAUCUGAGUGGAAUACAUUUUCAUUUUUAAUGAAACUAAAACAUUUGUUCAGAAGAUGAACUUCAUACCUAGCAGGCUUUUCAGCUACCAUCCUACUUACUCACUUACUGUGAGUGCUAAUCUUGGCCUUUGAGAGAAUAUAUUAUUUACCAAUAAGCAUACUUGAUCACCUCAAUGAC